This 467-nucleotide ribosomal RNA is filed under the name uncultured bacterium. RNAcentral describes it as "partial 16S ribosomal RNA". It matches the Rfam family "Bacterial small subunit ribosomal RNA", at positions 28 to 507 of the family's 1533-position model. The record is from RNAcentral.
GAUGAACGCUGGCGGCGUGCUUAACACAUGCAAGUCGAACGGAAAGGCCCAAGCUUGCUUGGGUACUCGAGUGGCGAACGGGUGAGUAACACGUGGGUGAUCUGCCCUGCACUUCGGGAUAAGCCUGGGAAAUUGGGUCUAAUACCGGAUAGGACCACAUUUUGGAUGGUGUGGUGGAAAGUUUUUCGGUGUGGGAUGAGCUCGCGGCCUAUCAGCUUGUUGGUGGGGUAAUGGCCUACCAAGGCGUCGACGGGUAGCCGGCCUGAGAGGGUGUACGGCCACAUUGGGACUGAGAUACGGCCCAGACUCCUACGGGAGGCAGCAGUGGGGAAUAUUGCACAAUGGGCGCAAGCCUGAUGCAGCGACGCCGCGUGGGGGAUGACGGCCUUCGGGUUGUAAACUCCUUUCGCUAGGGACGAAGCGUUUUUGUGACGGUACCUGGAGACGAAGCACCGGCUAACUACGUG